This 121-nucleotide small nucleolar RNA is filed under the name Nannospalax galili (Upper Galilee mountains blind mole rat). Its description in RNAcentral is "Small nucleolar RNA SNORA70 (ENSNGAG00000005237.1)". It matches the Rfam family "Small nucleolar RNA SNORA70". From Rfam's summary of the family: snoRNA U70 seems to be exclusive to mammals and is a member of the H/ACA class of snoRNA which contain H (ANANNA) and ACA box motifs. H/ACA box snoRNAs are involved in the conversion of uridines to pseudouridines (5-ribosyluracil) a constituent of structural RNAs (transfer, ribosomal, small nuclear, and small nucleolar). The record is from Rfam by way of RNAcentral. Lineage: Eukaryota; Metazoa; Chordata; Mammalia; Rodentia; Spalacidae.
CUGCAACUGGGCUCCUUUACUCCCUGGUGCUCACUGCGCAAUGGCUACCAAAGCAGCCUCCUUGGUAGUGUGUGCAGCCUGUUGCUGUUAUGUGCUGCCCUAAGGCACCUUCAAGACCACU